AUGGCUCAUGCCUUGGGCAUCAUCCUCCUCCUCCUGCUCUCCUUGUUCGCCAGCUCUGCCCUCUCCGACGCGGUGCUCGGACGGAAGGCCGGCGUCAUUCUCGAGGAGCCCAAGCUGGUGGCAGCCCCAGGGAAGUACGCUGUGAUCUUCGACGCCGGUAGCACGGGCACACGUGUCCAUGUCUUCCAGUUUGACAAGAAGAUGGACCUCGUCGAGAUCGGUGACGACAUCGAGGUCUAUGCCAAGUGGGAACCAGGACUGAGUUCAUAUGCCGGACGGCCACAAGAAGCGGCCAAGUCUAUCAUACCUCUGCUUGACAAGGCCAAGAGCACUGUGCCUCGGUGGCUCAUGGGAAAAACACCCGUUAAACUAGGGGCCACGGCCGGACUCAGGCUUAUCGGAGAUGACAAGGCAGAGCAAAUUCUUGAAGCGGUCAGGGAUGUUAUCCACAGCAAGAGCAAAUUUCAAUACAAUCCUAGUUGGAUCAAUGUUAUCGAGGGAUCUCAGGAAGGAUCUUACAUAUGGGUUGCUCUAAAUUAUUUGUUGGGUAAACUGGGAGGAGACUACGUCAAGACAGUAGGUGUGAUAGACCUUGGAGGUGGGUCCGUGCAGAUGACAUAUGCCAUCUCUUCAGCUGCUGCUGCUGCCGCUCCCGUAGUGUCUGACGGGAAGGAACCGUACGUCACCAAAGAGUAUCUCAAAGGAAGAGACUACAAUGUCUAUGCUUACAGCUACUUGCACUACGGCGCAUUGGCUUCUCGAGUAGAGAUCUUCAAGGCAAGUAAUGGGCCAUUCAACUAUUGCAUGCUGCGCGGAUUCAACGGUAAAUACACUUACAAUGGAGAGCAAUACGACGCUAUAUCUCCACCACAAGGAGCAGCAUAUGACAAGUGCAGAGAGGACAUCACCAAAGCACUGAAGUUGAAUGCACCCUGUGAAACAAAGAACUGCACCUUCAACGGCGUGUGGAGUGGCGGCGGUGGAGCUGGCCUGUCCGACCUCUACAUCACCACCAGCUUCUACUACACGGCAUCACAGGUUGGCUUGAUCGACAGCGAGGCUAGCAGUGCAAAGACCACCCCUGCGGCUUGGAGGGCUGCGGCAGAGAAGAUUUGCCCGCUGAGCUUCAAGGAAGCGAAGGAUGCGCACCCAAGGGUCCGAGCCAUUGACACGCCCUACAUUUGCAUGGAUCUCAUCUACCAGUACUCCUUGCUCGUGGAUGGAUUCGGUUUGGAGCCGACAAAAGAGAUCACAGUGGCAGAGAAGGUGAAGUACGGGGAAUACUUCAUCGAAGCCGCAUGGCCUCUUGGGGAAGCUAUAGAGGUCGUGUCGUCCACAAAUCGGCUCCGUGAUGCAUGA
RNAcentral lists this ribosomal RNA (1359 nucleotides) under Triticum aestivum (bread wheat). Its description in RNAcentral is "partial small subunit ribosomal RNA". The record is from RNAcentral. Lineage: Eukaryota; Viridiplantae; Streptophyta; Magnoliopsida; Poales; Poaceae.